RNAcentral lists this ribosomal RNA (497 nucleotides) under uncultured bacterium. RNAcentral's name for it is "partial 16S ribosomal RNA". It matches the Rfam family "Bacterial small subunit ribosomal RNA", at positions 28 to 507 of the family's 1533-position model. The record is from RNAcentral.
GAUGAACGCUGGCGGCGUGCCUAAUACAUGCAAGUCGAGCGAACAGACGAGGAGCUUGCUCCUCUGACGUUAGCGGCGGACGGGUGAGUAACACGUGGAUAACCUACCUAUAAGACUGGGAUAACUUCGGGAAACCGGAGCUAAUACCGGAUAAUAUAUUGAACCGCAUGGUUCAAUAGUGAAAGACGGUUUUGCUGUCACUUAUAGAUGGAUCCGCGCCGCAUUGGCUAGUUGGUAAGGUAACGGCUUACCAAGGCAACGAUGCGUAGCCGACCUGAGAUGGGGAUCGGCCACACUGGAACUGAGACACGGUCCAGACUCCUACGGGAGGCAGCAGUAGGGAAUCUUCCGCAAUGGGCGAAAGCCUGACGGAGCAACGCCGCGUGAGUGAUGAAGGUCUUCGGAUCGUAAAACUCUGUUAUUAGGGAAGAACAAAUGUGUAAGUAACUAUGCACGUCUUGACGGUACCUAAUCAGAAAGCCACGGCUAACUACGUG